CUGAAAGGUGCAGAACUUAACAUCCAGCAUAAAUAGAACAGAUGACUGGGGAUACAAGCAUCAUAAAGUCGCCCCAGGACAAGAACUCAUCACAGAGGAAGUAUUGGGGUGUUCACUGGAAGAACCAGGAUUUUAUGAAGCCCAAGUUUUGAAGGGAUUCUUCAACAAUGAACCUGAUUGCCCUGCUUCAGAGAGCUGAGUAUUGGUGGUGCAGCUGCAAUAAAUUUGUCUUCUACUCUUACAAGGCCAAAUGGGAAAUGUUUGGUCACUGUCUUCAGAUAACAGGGAGCAUAGCAUUUUCUUACAAGGACUGGAUGAGAGGUUUAUGGAAGGAUGCAAGAAAACAUCAACAACUAAACAAAUAAAAAAUCAACUACUUGGAAGUCCUAAGGCAAACAACCCAUGAAGAUAUAGUAUGAUCAUAAUAUUUCUUCUAGAGUCUAAAAAGACAGCCUCAAACUGUCAAAUUUCAUACUGCAAUUAGAAGUUGUUCACACAACUCCAUAUGAAGCUGAAUUAUAUUUAACCUGAAAAUAAAAUUAACUGAAUAUGUAGGCA
This 558-nucleotide long non-coding RNA is filed under the name Parus major (Great Tit). Its description in RNAcentral is "lncRNA (ENSPMJG00000004962.1)". Lineage: Eukaryota; Metazoa; Chordata; Aves; Passeriformes; Paridae. The record is from RNAcentral.